CUCAUUGGGAGUUUUCUUGGCAAGGAUACUGGAGUAGUUUGCUAUUUCCUUCUCCAGCUCAUUUUAUAAAUCAGGAGGCCAAGGGAAAUAGGUUUAAGCGAUUUUCCCAGGGUCACAUAGACAGUGAGUGUCUGAGAGCAGAUCCGAACUCAGGAAUUUGAGUCUUCCUGCAUCCAAGUCCUGUGUUCUAUCCCUUAUACCAUCUAGCUGCAUUUGGGUAGAAGGCACUGGAGUUGAAAGAUCAGGAAAAGUUCUGUGUGAAAAGAAGAUGAAAGAUGAUGAUUGUCUUCUCCAAGUAAGGCUGGUGUGAUUUUCCGAGGACUCCUUUGAAUAGCAUUGCUCCACUGUGACUUAAUGGGACUCACAAGCUUUGUCCUUCUCUAACUUGAAAGAAAUGCUUUCCAUUUGAGUGGUCGUUGGGUCUGUGUUUUCCUGGUUCUUCUCCCCUUAAUUCACUGUCAAUUCAGGAUUGAAGCCCAGUGGUGGGUUCUCUGCCUCAAAAAAAAACAUGGAUAUUUUAAUAAAUUUCUGAGCAUAACUUCA
Molecule: long non-coding RNA, 543 nt
Filed under: Monodelphis domestica (gray short-tailed opossum)
Lineage: Eukaryota; Metazoa; Chordata; Mammalia; Didelphimorphia; Didelphidae
Description: lncRNA (ENSMODG00000047958.1)
Source: RNAcentral